RNAcentral lists this ribosomal RNA (1465 nucleotides) under Prochlorococcus sp. AG-442-M23. RNAcentral's name for it is "bacterial SSU rRNA". It matches the Rfam family "Bacterial small subunit ribosomal RNA". Lineage: Bacteria; Bacillati; Cyanobacteriota; Cyanophyceae; Synechococcales; Prochlorococcaceae. The record is from RNAcentral.
AGAGUUUGAUCCUGGCUCAGGAUGAACGCUGGCGGCGUGCUUAACACAUGCAAGUCGAACGAACCUUCGGGUUAGUGGCGGACGGGUGAGUAACGCGUGAGAAUCUGCCCUCAGGAGGGGGAUAACGGUUGGAAACGACCGCUAAUACCCCAUAUGCCGAUAGGUGAAAUGAAUUUCGCCUGAGGAUGAGCUCGCGUCUGAUUAGCUUGUUGGUGAGGUAAUGGCUCACCAAGGCUUCGAUCAGUAGCUGGUCUGAGAGGAUGAUCAGCCACACUGGGACUGAGACACGGCCCAGACUCCUACGGGAGGCAGCAGUGGGGAAUUUUCCGCAAUGGGCGAAAGCCUGACGGAGCAACGCCGCGUGAGGGACGAAGGCCUCUGGGCUGUAAACCUCUUUUCUCAAGGAAGAAGAUAUGACGGUACUUGAGGAAUAAGCCACGGCUAAUUCCGUGCCAGCAGCCGCGGUAAUACGGGAGUGGCAAGCGUUAUCCGGAAUUAUUGGGCGUAAAGCGUCCGCAGGCGGCCUUUCAAGUCUGCUGUUAAAGCGUGGAGCUUAACUCCAUCAUGGCAGUGGAAACUGAAAGGCUAGAGUAUGGUAGGGGCAGAGGGAAUUCCCGGUGUAGCGGUGAAAUGCGUAGAUAUCGGGAAGAACACCAGUGGCGAAGGCGCUCUGCUGGGCCAUUACUGACGCUCAUGGACGAAAGCCAGGGGAGCGAAAGGGAUUAGAUACCCCUGUAGUCCUGGCCGUAAACGAUGAACACUAGGUGUCGGGGGAAUCGACCCCUUCGGUGUCGUAGCUAACGCGUUAAGUGUUCCGCCUGGGGAGUACGCACGCAAGUGUGAAACUCAAAGGAAUUGACGGGGGCCCGCACAAGCGGUGGAGUAUGUGGUUUAAUUCGAUGCAACGCGAAGAACCUUACCAGGGUUUGACAUCUUGAGAACCUCUUAGAAAUUUGAGGGUGCCUUCGGGAAUUCAAUGACAGGUGGUGCAUGGCUGUCGUCAGCUCGUGUCGUGAGAUGUUGGGUUAAGUCCCGCAACGAGCGCAACCCACGUUUUUAGUUGCCAGCAUUUAGUUGGGCACUCUAGAAAGACCGCCGGUGAUAAACCGGAGGAAGGUGUGGAUGACGUCAAGUCAUCAUGCCCCUUACACCCUGGGCUACACACGUACUACAAUGCUACGGACAAAGGGCAGCAAACUCGCGAGAGCUAGCAAAUCCCAUAAACCGUGGCUCAGUUCAGAUCGUAGGCUGCAACUCGCCUACGUGAAGUAGGAAUCGCUAGUAAUCGCAGGUCAGCAUACUGCGGUGAAUACGUUCCCGGGCCUUGUACACACCGCCCGUCACACCAUGGAAGUUGGCCAUGCCCGAAGUCGUUACUCCAACCCUUGUGGAGGAGGACGCCGAAGGUGGGGCUAAUGACUGGGGUGAAGUCGUAACAAGGUAGCCGUACCGGAAGGUGCGGCUG